UCAGGCCUAACACAUGCAAGUCGAGCGAGAAAGUGGAGCAAUCCAUGAGUACAGCGGCGUACGGGUGAGUGACACGUGGAUCAUCUGCCCUUGACUCUGGGAUAACUGCGGGAAACUGUAGCUAAUACCGGAUAUCGUACCUGGGGGCAUCCCUGGGUACUGAAAGAAUUUUGGUCAAGGAUGAGCUCGCGGCCUAUCAGCUUGUUGGUGAGGUAAUGGCUCACCAAGGCGACGACGGGUAGCCGGCCUGAGAGGGUGACCGGCCACACUGGAACUGAGACACGGUCCAGACUCCUACGGGAGGCAGCAGUGGGGAAUAUUGCACAAUGGGCGAAAGCCUGAUGCAGCAACGCCGCGUGAGGGAUGAAAGCGUUCGGGUUGUAAACCUC
This 389-nucleotide ribosomal RNA is filed under the name uncultured bacterium. RNAcentral's name for it is "bacterial SSU rRNA". It matches the Rfam family "Bacterial small subunit ribosomal RNA", at positions 42 to 433 of the family's 1533-position model. The record is from RNAcentral.